This 1542-nucleotide ribosomal RNA is filed under the name Salmonella enterica subsp. enterica. Its description in RNAcentral is "bacterial SSU rRNA". It matches the Rfam family "Bacterial small subunit ribosomal RNA". The record is from RNAcentral. Lineage: Bacteria; Pseudomonadati; Pseudomonadota; Gammaproteobacteria; Enterobacterales; Enterobacteriaceae.
AAAUUGAAGAGUUUGAUCAUGGCUCAGAUUGAACGCUGGCGGCAGGCCUAACACAUGCAAGUCGAACGGUAACAGGAAGCAGCUUGCUGCUUCGCUGACGAGUGGCGGACGGGUGAGUAAUGUCUGGGAAACUGCCUGAUGGAGGGGGAUAACUACUGGAAACGGUAGCUAAUACCGCAUAAUGUCGCAGGACCAAAGAGGGGGACCUUCGGGCCUCUUGCCAUCAGAUGUGCCCAGAUGGGAUUAGCUUGUUGGUGAGGUAACGGCUCACCAAGGCGACGAUCCCUAGCUGGUCUGAGAGGAUGACCAGCCACACUGGAACUGAGACACGGUCCAGACUCCUACGGGAGGCAGCAGUGGGGAAUAUUGCACAAUGGGCGCAAGCCUGAUGCAGCCAUGCCGCGUGUAUGAAGAAGGCCUUCGGGUUGUAAAGUACUUUCAGCGGGGAGGAAGGUGUUGUGGUUAAUAACCACAGCAAUUGACGUUACCCGCAGAAGAAGCACCGGCUAACUCCGUGCCAGCAGCCGCGGUAAUACGGAGGGUGCAAGCGUUAAUCGGAAUUACUGGGCGUAAAGCGCACGCAGGCGGUCUGUCAAGUCGGAUGUGAAAUCCCCGGGCUCAACCUGGGAACUGCAUUCGAAACUGGCAGGCUUGAGUCUUGUAGAGGGGGGUAGAAUUCCAGGUGUAGCGGUGAAAUGCGUAGAGAUCUGGAGGAAUACCGGUGGCGAAGGCGGCCCCCUGGACAAAGACUGACGCUCAGGUGCGAAAGCGUGGGGAGCAAACAGGAUUAGAUACCCUGGUAGUCCACGCCGUAAACGAUGUCUACUUGGAGGUUGUGCCCUUGAGGCGUGGCUUCCGGAGCUAACGCGUUAAGUAGACCGCCUGGGGAGUACGGCCGCAAGGUUAAAACUCAAAUGAAUUGACGGGGGCCCGCACAAGCGGUGGAGCAUGUGGUUUAAUUCGAUGCAACGCGAAGAACCUUACCUGGUCUUGACAUCCACAGAACUUUCCAGAGAUGGAUUGGUGCCUUCGGGAACUGUGAGACAGGUGCUGCAUGGCUGUCGUCAGCUCGUGUUGUGAAAUGUUGGGUUAAGUCCCGCAACGAGCGCAACCCUUAUCCUUUGUUGCCAGCGGUCCGGCCGGGAACUCAAAGGAGACUGCCAGUGAUAAACUGGAGGAAGGUGGGGAUGACGUCAAGUCAUCAUGGCCCUUACGACCAGGGCUACACACGUGCUACAAUGGCGCAUACAAAGAGAAGCGACCUCGCGAGAGCAAGCGGACCUCAUAAAGUGCGUCGUAGUCCGGACUGGAGUCUGCAACUCGACUCCAUGAAGUCGGAAUCGCUAGUAAUCGUGGAUCAGAAUGCCACGGUGAAUACGUUCCCGGGCCUUGUACACACCGCCCGUCACACCAUGGGAGUGGGUUGCAAAAGAAGUAGGUAGCUUAACCUUCGGGAGGGCGCUUACCACUUUGUGAUUCAUGACUGGGGUGAAGUCGUAACAAGGUAACCGUAGGGGAACCUGCGGUUGGAUCACCUCCUUA